UUUCAAGUAGUUUAAGAAGAACAAAAUUUUGAAGAAAUUUAAGUAGUACAAACUCUUGGAAG
RNAcentral lists this transfer RNA (62 nucleotides) under Diaphorina citri (Asian citrus psyllid). Its description in RNAcentral is "tRNA-Phe". Lineage: Eukaryota; Metazoa; Arthropoda; Insecta; Hemiptera; Psyllidae. The record is from RNAcentral.